Non-coding RNA from Podarcis lilfordi (Lilford's wall lizard), 5054 nucleotides. The record is from the annotation of a GenBank genome assembly. NCBI's taxonomy places the organism in Eukaryota, Metazoa, Chordata, Lepidosauria, Squamata, Lacertidae.
AUGCCUUUGACCAAUGGUUUCUCACAAUUUCCUUUCCCCCACUCCUAUUGGCCAGCCUGCCAACCACUCAUUUGCCUUGAAAUUUAGCCAGGUAGAGCUGGUUACUUUUGGGAGGUCUUGAUGGGUGAUGGUCAUGGCUACCCACAGGUAAGAGAAAAUGAGAUUACCUCAGCAUAUAGAUUUAAGAGGAAGGUGUGAGGAUGAAGGGCAGAGAGGUCAGCUCUAGAAAUGGGUAUUGGCCCAAGAAUUAGGCAAGACUCUUCUCAAACUUUAUGAUCUUUCAUUGGCCGUUAUGUUUUAGUUCAAGAGCUAGCACUGCCCAGUCCUUCAAGAUGAUCUACUUUGGGGGUCUCAGUGGGUCUAGUCAAGCCACGUUCCUAGGCUUGCUUACACAACCAAGAUUCAGAGGUGGGCUUAUCCCAGAUUGAGAGCAUACCUUUUGGAGUGUUUGGCAUAAACCCGUUUGCUGACAAUCUCCAAUUAUUUAGAGGGUAUGUGUCCCCAGAAUAACAAGCCUAGUUAGGUAGACAUGCACUCCAAUAAUAUUUAUAUGUGUGGAAGGUAGACCUUGACUGAUAGAUUUUCAUACCCAGCAUGUGCUAUAUUUGGGGUUUAUGAAGGACUCUUCCUACGCAGUGAAACUGGUUUGUGGUUGGGUGCUAGACAACCCAGAACUGAGAUCCCUCAGCAUGGUUUUUGGAACUGUGAUCAGAUACCUAGCCUGACGUUGUCUGUUUAAGCUGCUCUUUGCUGUUUUCCUUCCUGCUUCUCCGAUGUGAUAGAAUGCAGGAGGAUGAGUUGAAUGGCUUUGAAUGCCUGCAGUGAUGUGGAGUGUUAUGUCUGGAUAUCAAAACAAUCAUUGCAUGCAUGAAGAACGCAGGCGAUGGUUGCACCAGCAACUGAGCUUUUCUUAUGGCUCAGAACCACCAGCAUGGAGCAGAUCCCAUGGGAUCCUGCGGAAUGCACAAUACACCUUACAUAAAAAGCACUGGUGCCAUUAAGUUUAGGGAUAAGGUCCGGCUGCUAUUCAAGGGUAGAGAGGCAUGACACUGUUGUGACUAAUGGCAUUGUGUAUCUUGGGCACCAUCUCGUUUGAAGGAGGACAUUGCAAAUGGAACAUGGCCACAUCUUUCCCCAGAGAAGAGUGUUUGUAACCUUAUUGGUUGCAAGUAACAUGCCUGUUACAACCCUGUCUCCCCAGCUUUACAAAGCAGCCCAUUCAGACUAAUGAAAACAAGAACAGAGUUUUCAGCCACACAAUAAUCACCACUGCUUAGUAAGGAUUGCCUGUGAGAUUAUAGUGAGAAGAGUUAAAUGAUCCUUAUUUAUAAAAGGAUUUCCCAGUUUUUUCCUGUUCCCCAGCUCUCAGGGGUUACCAUGACAAAACUCUAGCUUUAAGCAUCAAUUAUUGUAAAUAAGAUGCCUGACCAAUCGCGAUACAGAUGGAUAUUCCAUUUCAUACAUGAUUCUAAGCCCUCAUUUGAUAUCCUGCUUCCUUGUGGAUACACAGUCAGAUGUUGCUUUGGGUUGCAGUAUGAUUCAUGCUGUCCUCACAGCACAGGUGCUUUCUGACAAGUAUAAUUUAAGGCCAGAACCACCCAAGGAACAAGCAUUCUCAGAACAUGAAUGGUGUUAUUUCAAGUGAGUGGAAAACCCAUUGCCUGGCUUAGCUUCGAAAAGCCAGUGUGUCUCAAUUACUGCAACUCCUUUUUAGAGCCCGAGUCUUGCUAAGAUGCCAGUCCUACAUCCUGCAGGAUAUCCUGUGCUUAAUCGGAGAGGCGCUUGGGCAAUCUGUUGGGGAGAAGCACUCCGCUUCCUUGAGAGGAACCAGGAGUUCACACCCAGAAUUGGAAAAUGUUUUGCCCAAUGAUUCAGGUUGCUCAGAGAGAGGAUGGCAGGCCUGGACAUGACCUGGAGCUUUAAGCCAAAUGCUAAGUGUAUAUAUUUCAAUGUCCGUGCCAGAUGGUUUCUAACGUCAUGCAAGAUAACAGUAUUCUUUGGCAGUCAUCUGAAAACAUUGUAGCAGGGCACGCUGCCUUGAACUUUCAUGCGUAAUUGCAAAGAUUUACAUAAUUGUACAUUGAAAGAAGAGGAUCGUUCUAGUACACAGUGACGUUAUUCUAGGUCUUGCCCCUGUGCCAAAACAGCUCUCCUUGUCUCUUCAAGGAAUUCCUCACCCCCACUAAAGAAAAUUCCUGAGCUAGUUUAAAUCACCUAAGUGCUGAAGUCAAGGCUCCUGGAAUAGGUAGUGGAAAAAGGCAAGCAAACUCACACUGAGUUUUGCAAGCUGUGGCUAGCUUCUCUCGCGACAGCUUGCCAAAGUGUCACUGGAAGGGGGGGUGCAUUUGAAAGAGAGAAAAGAAACAGAAUAAUCCAAGCUUAAGGGAUCUAUGGCAUCAGAAGUGCUGCCACAUGAGCAUGGACAUAACCUGAUUCUCCUGGAUCAGGCAAGACCCCAUAUUUCUCCACCUUUAACGGUUGAGAUGGAUCAUAUGACACAAAAUAAAGUUUAAGCACCUAAGAGCCCACUUGGAUCAGUCCAAUAUCCUAUCUAGUCCAGCAUCCUCUGCCCUCAGGUGCCAACCAGAGAAAUACACAGAGACCAUGAGUGCAGCAGCCAGCACUAUUGUUCCCCAAUAACUCAGAGGCAUGGGGUAAUUAAACGAGUGAUGGCCAAUUCACAACAUUUGUGAAAUCAACAACAGUUUGAGCUCCUAUUGUGAAUGUUCCGACUUAGUGUUCAUUUCAUAAUACAUCAGGUUUGGGUUUUUUGUUGAGUUUUGUGGUAUUUUAUACAUACAUCUUUUUGUUGUUUUGUUGCUGUUAAACUAUGACAGUUCUAAUAUCCACCCCUAAGCUUGGUUUCACCGCAUCCUUUUUAUUUUAUUUUAUGAGAACCAACAAAGCACAACGUGUUAGAGCUGGAAAGAACAUCGCAAAUGACUUGGCCCAGCUAGAAUUGCUCUGUUAUCCUUUAUAUAACACCAGGAAUGUGCCUGGUUCUUGUCACAUAGUUAAAAAAACAAAAGGCAAGUCCCUCGCUCUGAGCACUCACAAUCUACAAUUUGACAGGAAGGAAGAGAGGAACCAAAUAAAACCAGCCAAUCAGGUGUUACCUAACAGACUGGUAUUGCACUUUGAACAACCGAAUGCUUCCUCGACCUUUGCAGUUUAUGCUAUUGAUUCAGGGCAGGUCCACAUAAGGGCAGAAUCUCAAGUUCAAUUGAGAGGUAAAUUCACAGUUUGUCAACUGAAGAUGUCUCCAAAUAGCAAAGGAACCAGGAAAAGGGUGGAAGGGAAGUCAUAUGGUACAGUGGUACCUUGGGUUAAGUACUUAAUUCGUUCCGGAGGUCCGUUCUUAACCUGAAACUGUUCUUAACCUGAAGCACCACUUUAGCUAAUGGGGCCUCCCGCUGCUGCCGCACCGCCGGUGCACAAUUUCUGUUCUCAUCCUGAAGCAAAGUUCUUAACCCGAGGUACUAUUUCUGGGUUAGCGGAGUCUGUAACCUGAAGUGUAUGUAACCUGAGGUACCACUGUAUAUGUAUACAGGCUGUAUUUGGUAUAAAGUUGUAAGUGGGGGAGGGGGAGGUGGCUUAAAUAUGCUCUCUGUUCCAGUUUUUGAAAAUGCAAAUAAAUUUUUUUUAAAAAAAAACUCUUUGCCAAACUGUUGCAGUUGUUUUGCAGAGUUUUGCAGCAAAAACGCUGCAUUUUGCUGCACCCCACCAACCGAGCAAUCAGUACGCCAACCCGGGGUCAUAGCUAUCACCUUGAAACCCAGCGUCGUCCGAUUCAUUCAAAGCCAGUGCCAAAGUGCAGCAAUGGUUUUGCAGCAAAAACCAGACGAUUGACUGCCAUCCCUUCACUGGCACCAGAUCCUUUUGAUCUGCUUGUGAUUAGUCUAUGGUCGCUUGCAGCUGCAGGAUUAACAGAACUGCUUUCAUUUCCCAGGGAUAGCGGCAGAGGCACACCGAGACUUUGGAGCAGCUGUGUCGACUGCUUGGUGCUGGCAUAAAACCCGAUCCCCUCUGGGUGUCCUGCCGCUUGGGUUUCCCUGGAAGUGAAGGAAGGUGUCCAUCCCAGGGCAGCCUUGGAAUGCUGUCCAAACCCAACUUGUGCCACCUCUGUGGAAGCACAAAAUGGUUGCUCCACCACCAGGCCUCUUUCCCACCAGAGCCCCAGCCUCAGGGAAGAAGCAGCAGCAGCAGCACAGGACUCUCCGACCCGAAACUCAGAUAUUAGACGUCUCCCAUGCCGCUCCAGUUCUGCCCAUGUCCUGCUCCGAGGAGGACCUCUCCUCUUCCUCCUCUCUGGUCUCCAACCCGCACACAAGUCCUGCUGCCAAGAGCGUGAGUACAUUCCCCAUGCAGAGUGAUUCCUCCAAGUCCAGCUCCCUCAGCGACGAUGCCAUCAGCUUGAAGACAGUGAGCAGCCUCGUCAGGACGCUUAGGCCCGAGCAAGGCCCAGUCGCAGAAGUCUUCCUCUCAGCUCCCUUUGCCUCCAAGCAGGAGUACAAGUUGCUGCAUCCUCUCCCGUUUCCCAGAGGAUUGGCCUCCUCGGCCCAGAACCCCACUUUGUGCAACGCGAGAGGCCGGCUGCUCCACGCCACCUGGCUCGCUGAAGUCUCCCUCCUCCUUGCCAGCGCCCAGACCUCUUUGCCUUGGGGUGGGGGAAAGGCAGCCAAGGGACAAGGAAGAGAACUUUGAGCAGCAGCUGUCCCACAUGGAGGCCAGGCUGAAGGCUGUGCAGGAGCAGCAAACGCUGUGGCUGCAGGAGCUGGUGCCGGCUGUGCGACGUGUUCGCUCGGAGCUUGCCAACAUCGGUCAGAGCCUGGGCAGGCUAGUGCAAAUGUUUGAAGCGCAGGUGCCCGCCUGCCCACACUUCCAUGCCACCCAGGAGAAGGGAGCGGCCAAAGCUGAGGGCAGCAGAGCAGGAGGCAAGCACCUGUUCCACCCCACCUUCACCCAUCGCCCCUGCCAGGAAAUAUAAAAGGAACCCUAGCCCUGUAUGGACGCAGAGCAGUUUCCAUUAUAUACAGAACAAUGGUUUCAAAGUU